RNAcentral lists this ribosomal RNA (522 nucleotides) under uncultured bacterium. Its description in RNAcentral is "bacterial SSU rRNA". It matches the Rfam family "Bacterial small subunit ribosomal RNA", at positions 29 to 458 of the family's 1533-position model. The record is from RNAcentral.
AGUGAACGCUGGCGGCGUGCCUAACACAUGCAAGUCGAACGGGCUAGUGCUUCGCACUAGUCUCUUUCUGGGGUUGUUACUCUAAGGCUACCUGCUAAGGUUAUUGCUUUAAAGCAGGGGUUUUUAGGAGACUUUCCCCGAAAGGGGCCAGUGCGGAGCACUGGCCAGUGGCGAACGGGUGAGUAACACGUGGGUAAUCUACCCUCGAGUGGGGAAUAAGCUUCCGAAAGGGGGUCUAAUGCCGCAUAACGUUUCAUAACGAUGGUUAUGAAACCAAAGCCCAAAAGGCGCUCGAGGAGGAGCCUGCGUCCUAUCAGCUUGUUGGCAGGGUAAUGGCCUACCAAGGCUAUGACGGGUAGCCGGCCUGAGAGGGUGUCCGGCCACACUGGAACUGAGACACGGUCCAGACUCCUACGGGAGGCAGCAGUGGGGAAUUUUGCGCAAUGGGGAAACCCUGACGCAGCGACGCCGCGUGGAGGAUGACGGCCUGGUUGUAACUCUUCGAAGGACGAAUACCGCAAC